GUAACGGCGAGUGAAGCGGCAACAGCUCAAUUUGAAAUCUGGCUCUUUCAGAGUCCGAGUUGUAAUUUGCAGAGGGCGCUUUGGCUUUGGCAGCGGUCCAAGUUCCUUGGAACAGGACGUCACAGAGGGUGAGAAUCCCGUACGUGGUCGCUAGCUAUUGCCGUGUAAAGCCCCUUCGACGAGUCGAGUUGUUUGGGAAUGCAGCUCUAAAUGGGAGGUAAAUUUCUUCUAAAGCUAAAUAUUGGCCAGAGACCGAUAGCGCACAAGUAGAGUGAUCGAAAGAUGAAAAGCACUUUGGAAAGAGAGUCAAACAGCACGUGAAAUUGUUGAAAGGGAAGCGCUUGCAGCCAGACUUGCUUGCAGUUGCUCAUCCGGGCUUUUGCCCGGUGCACUCUUCUGCAGGCAGGCCAGCAUCAGUUUGGGCGGUGGGAUAAAGGUCUCUGACACGUUCCUUCCUUCGGGUUGGCCAUAUAGGGGAGACGUCAUACCACCAGCCUGGACUGAGGUCCGCGCAUCUGCUAGGAUGCUGGCGUAAUGGCUGUAAGCGGCCCGUCUUGAAACACGGACCAAGGAGUCUAACAUCUAUGCGAGUGUUUGGGUGUCAAGCCCGAGCGCGUAAUGAAAGUGAACGGAGGUGGGAACCCGCAAGGGUGCACCAUCGACCGAUCCUGAAGUUUACGGAAGGAUUUGAGUAAGAGCAUGGCUGUUGGGACCCGAAAGAUGGUGAACUAUGCUUGAAUAGGGUGAAGCCAGAGGAAACUCUGGUGGAGGCUCGCAGCGGUUCUGACGUGCAAAUCGAUCGUCAAAUUUGGGCAUAGGGGCGAAAGACUAAUCGAACUAUCUAGUAGCUGGUUCCUGCCGAAGUUUCCCUCAGGAUAGCAGUAACGUAUUCAGUUUUAUGAGGUAAAGCGAAUGAUUAGAGGCAUGGGGGUUGAAACAACCUUCACCUAUUCUCAAACUUUAAAUAUGUAAGAAGCCCUUUGUUACUUAAUUGAACGCGGGCAUUUGAAUGAAACGUUAUUAGUGGGCCAUUUUUGGUAAGCAGAACUGGCGAUGCGGGAUGAACCGAACGAGGGGUUACGGUGCCGGAGUACACGCUCAUCAGACACCACAAAAGGUGUUGGUUCAUCUAGACAGCAGGACGGUGGCCAUGGAAGUCGGAAUCCGCUAAGGAGUGUGUAACAACUCACCUGCCGAAUGAACUAGCCCUGAAAAUGGAUGGCGCUCAAGCGUGUCACCUAUACCCCUCCGCCGGGGCAAAAUUUACGCCCCGGCGAGUAGGCAGGCGUGGAGGCUCGUGACGAA
Molecule: ribosomal RNA, 1305 nt
Filed under: Bipolaris sp.
Lineage: Eukaryota; Fungi; Ascomycota; Dothideomycetes; Pleosporales; Pleosporaceae
Description: partial large subunit ribosomal RNA
Rfam family: Eukaryotic large subunit ribosomal RNA
Source: RNAcentral